CAAAGCACAGGAAUAGCAAAAAAUUUCAUGUUCCGAUGACACGUAAGUCUGGAGUGCGAAAGAAACAACCUAAGACAGGCACACACUCUGAGAGACUUGAUGGAGUCUUAAAAAAUAAAAAAGGGGGAAUUGUGGGAGCCCACA
Dipodomys spectabilis (banner-tailed kangaroo rat) is the source of this 144-nucleotide long non-coding RNA. RefSeq lists it as uncharacterized. The record is from RefSeq and is a predicted model, not a curated record. The transcript has 4 exons. Lineage: Eukaryota; Metazoa; Chordata; Mammalia; Rodentia; Heteromyidae.